UACGAAGGGGGCAAGCGUUGCUCGGAAUUAUUGGGCGUAAAGCGCACGUAGGCGGUAUUGCAAGUCGGAUGUGAAAUCCCUCGGCUUAACCAAGGAAGUGCAUCCGAAACUGCAGUACUUGAGUACGAAAGAGGAUCGCGGAAUUCCCGGUGUAGAGGUGAAAUUCGUAGAUAUCGGGAGGAACACCAGUGGCGAAGGCGGCGAUCUGGGUCGAUACUGACGCUGAGGUGCGAAAGCGUGGGGAGCAAACAGG
Molecule: ribosomal RNA, 253 nt
Filed under: uncultured bacterium
Lineage: Bacteria
Description: partial 16S ribosomal RNA
Rfam family: Bacterial small subunit ribosomal RNA
Source: RNAcentral